This 444-nucleotide long non-coding RNA is filed under the name Gossypium raimondii (Peruvian cotton). RNAcentral's name for it is "long non-coding RNA (GRAI_LNC001739)". The record is from RNAcentral. Lineage: Eukaryota; Viridiplantae; Streptophyta; Magnoliopsida; Malvales; Malvaceae.
AAAACUACCAAAGGAAGCAUCUCAACAAAAGAGCCACGCUUUGCUUUUCAGCUCCAAAAACUAAAGGUACAAGUACCAAACCAAUUCUUUACACUAUAUACCACUGCAUUCACUAUUAUGACCUUAAGGUAACUUCAAAGUAACAAUAAAUCAGCAUGUGGAGCAAUCUCAUUUCUUCAAAGUCCAAAUUCCAUUUAUGUCCAGUAUUUCAUUAUCUUAGCAUUAUAUUUUCCUUUCAUAGUUAAUUUUUGGUAGAGGUAAACACUUACUAUAAGAAUUGGAUUGGAACUUGCAGGAUUCCCAUGUGAAUGAAUAUCAGACAACUGAGAAGGAUCUUCUUGUUGUUUCCCAUUUGAAGGCAGUUCAGAAAUACAAACAUCAUCUUCCUCACAUUGACCUUCUCCAUCAUGCCCCUUUUUCACUCUUGCAUGAGCAGGUUUUGAC